Molecule: ribosomal RNA, 226 nt
Filed under: uncultured bacterium
Lineage: Bacteria
Description: partial 16S ribosomal RNA
Rfam family: Bacterial small subunit ribosomal RNA
Source: RNAcentral
AGUAACACGUAAGUAAUCUACCUUCGAGUGGGGAAUAACGUCCGGAAACGGACGCUAAUACCGCAUAAUGCAGCGGCAUCGCAAGAUGACAGUUGUUAAAGAUUUAUCGCUUGAAGAGGAGCUUGCGGCAGAUUAGCUAGUUGGUAAGGUAAUGGCUUACCAAGGCUACGAUCUGUAACCGGUCUAAGAGGACGGUCGGUCACACUGACACUGAAUAACGGGUCAG